RNAcentral lists this ribosomal RNA (469 nucleotides) under Streptococcus sp. oral taxon C14. RNAcentral's name for it is "bacterial SSU rRNA". It matches the Rfam family "Bacterial small subunit ribosomal RNA", at positions 29 to 486 of the family's 1533-position model. Lineage: Bacteria; Bacillati; Bacillota; Bacilli; Lactobacillales; Streptococcaceae. The record is from RNAcentral.
AUUGACGCUGGCGGCAGGCUUAACACAUGCAAGUCGAACGGUAACAUAAAGAAGCUUGCUUCUUUGAUGACGAGUGGCGGACGGGUGAGUAAUGCUUGGGAAUCUAGCUUAUGGAGGGGGAUAACUACGGGAAACUGUAGCUAAUACCGCGUAAUAUCGAAAGAUUAAAGUGUGGGACCUUCGGGCCACAUGCCAUAGGAUGAGCCCAAGUGGGAUUAGGUAGUUGGUGAGGUAAAGGCUCACCAAGCCGACGAUCUCUAGCUGGUCUGAGAGGAUGACCAGCCACACUGGGACUGAGACACGGCCCAGACUUCUACGGGAGGCAGCAGUGGGGAAUAUUGCGCAAUGGGGGCAACCCUGACGCAGCCAUGCUGCGUGAAUGAAGAAGGCCUUCGGGUUGUAAAGUUCUUUCGGUAGCGAGGAAGGCAUUUAGUUUAAUAGACUAGGUGAUAUGACGUUAACUACAGAA